Chinchilla lanigera (long-tailed chinchilla) is the source of this 2120-nucleotide long non-coding RNA. Lineage: Eukaryota; Metazoa; Chordata; Mammalia; Rodentia; Chinchillidae. The record is from Ensembl.
GACCAACUGGGGUGACAUAUGGAACCCUAUCACACACCAAUUUCUUUUUUUAAAAUUUUAAUGGGCUGGAAAUGUAGCUCAGUGCUAGGAGUACUUGCCUACAGUGCAAGAGAUCUUGGUUUCAAUCCCCAGGAUGGGCCGAGCGUGGUGGUACACGCCUGUAAUCCCAGCACUCGGGAGGCUGAGGCAGGAGGAUUGUUGGGAGUUUGAGACCAGCCUAUGCUACAUAAGUGAGCUCAAGGCCAGUCUGAACUACAUAGUGAAACCCUGUCUCAAAAGAAAAAAAAAUCCCCAGGAUGGGUAGGGGUUGAUUAUUCGACCCAGUCAUUGCUUCUGAACUUAUUUAAUGAUGGUGCUGAUACCUCUUGUCUAGGGACGACAUUUUGAAAACCAGCACUCUAAAAGAAAAACUGUACCCUAAAGACUGCUGUUACUGAUGUUUCCUGGAAUUACUCCUGGAGAACUCAAAGAUGGUGAUGAUCAUUCAUGUGCUUCAAAGGGCAGAUACGGGCAUGUUCCCUCCUAUUUUCAUCUUCCUUUCUGCCCCCACCACCUCCUCCCAUUCCAAUCAGUCCAUUUUAUUUCUAAAUAUUUUUCAAAUCUGAAUUCUUUUUUUACUAUGAUCACUGUUAUUAUCACUGUGCUCUUUGAGUUUUUCAUCAUUCUCAAAUAGCCAGUGUUCCCAGCCACCUCAUUGGGCUCCCUGCCAGCCGACCUGACCCCUUGAAUCCAUCUGCUUCCCAGCUGCUGGAAGGGUUCUCCAAAACAAGGCCUGAAAAUAGUUUGGAAUUCCACUGUAGGAUGAGGUUUCAUACCUCUAUUGUAGCAUCUGACACUCUUUUCCAGCUCCACAUAUGUCACUCUUUCAUUAAUGGAAAGUCAAAGUUACAUAGUUCUCUCAUGUAAGUGACUUAUCUCAUGUUGUCAAUGGGCCUAGAAGGCCCAGGUCCCUCCCUCAUAUUCCUACCAUGGCCACCCAAACCACAAUGACCAGCUGCUUACUAGAAUUAUAUAAGAUUUAUUUCAUGCAGUGACUCUCAGUGUUGCCUAAAGCCUGAAAUAGAUUUAGGUGCUCUUUUUCUAGGUUCCUAAGCCUCUCAGACAUUUGGAUUUUGUUCUUGUGGAUAAUGUUUUUUUUGUUAAAAUGGCUUUGAAACAAAUCUACCUUGUUGAUACUUCUCUAUAAUAUUAGAAUGAACUAUUAAACUACAAUAUUUGGGAUUUAGGUGAGAUUUCAGUGUUUAAAAUGCAAUGUUAUUAACAUUUAAAUAAAGUCUUUUUAUAUAUGUAAGUAAGAGUCCAAAAUAUAUAAAGAAUUUACAGUUUAAUGGUAUUUAAUGAAAAGUAAUGUACUAGUAGUGUGAUACACAGGUAUUAAUGAGUGAUUUUAACAUAUUUUUACAAGAAUUGAGAAAUAAUGCUCAGAUUCAGCAAGCUAUAAUGAUAACAAAACAGAAGUUAGUUUGUGGCCCUGUUUCUUUUUCCACCCCUAUUUCCCCAUCAACAAAUCCAGAGAGUGUGAGGCAAAACUCCUCGGUUCAGGGACCACUUAGCUAUAUCGCAAGCCAAUAAAAGCCAUUCUCCUACUGCCUCGUGUCUUCCUGUUGCUCCUUUCACUGCAUUAUUAACUGUGCAGUAGGCUUAGCUUCAAACUAAGGAGAAUAAACCACGAUUUAUACUGAUUUAUGUCUCUUCCAUGCACCGACUUUAUUGUCUCUGGAUACCUACCUAAAAGCUGCAUUGCUGGGUCCUAUGUUAGUUUUAUUUUAUUUUUUUUUUUGUUUUGUUUUUUUUUGGUUUUUCUCCGGUACCAGGAACCGAACUCACGACCUUGCACUUGCCAGGCAGGCGCUUUGCCGCUGAGCUAAAUCCCCAGCCCCAGUUUUAUUUUUAAUUUUGGUUAUUUAAAGAACUUCUGUAUUUUUUCUGUAAUGGCUCUGAUAGCUUACAUUUCCCCCAGUGAUGCACAAGAGCUCCCUUUUCUUCACAUCCUUAGCAGCAUUUGAUAUUUCAUUAUGGUUUUGAUUUGCAUUUCCUUGAGGAUUAGUGAUAUUGAGCAUUUUUAUAUUUAUCUAUUGACUGUGUAUUCUUCUUUGACCAAUGUCCCCUGAGGUCUGUCA